Transfer RNA from Monosiga brevicollis MX1, 73 nucleotides. It matches the Rfam family "tRNA". Rfam says of the family: Transfer RNA (tRNA) molecules are approximately 80 nucleotides in length. Their secondary structure includes four short double-helical elements and three loops (D, anti-codon, and T loops). The record is from Rfam. NCBI's taxonomy places the organism in Eukaryota, Choanoflagellata, Craspedida, Salpingoecidae.
GGCGGAUUGGCGCAAUUGGUAGCGCAGUGGAUUCCAGUUCCAAAGGCUGUAGGUUCGAGUCCUGCAUCUGUCA